RNAcentral lists this microRNA (21 nucleotides) under Blattella germanica (German cockroach). RNAcentral's name for it is "Bge-Novel-8_5p (mature (co-guide))". The record is from RNAcentral. Lineage: Eukaryota; Metazoa; Arthropoda; Insecta; Blattodea; Blattellidae.
UCUGGAGGACGAAGCAUAACA